This 492-nucleotide ribosomal RNA is filed under the name uncultured bacterium. Its description in RNAcentral is "partial 16S ribosomal RNA". It matches the Rfam family "Bacterial small subunit ribosomal RNA", at positions 28 to 507 of the family's 1533-position model. The record is from RNAcentral.
GACGAACGCUGGCGGCGUGCUUAACACAUGCAAGUCGAACGGAAAGGCCCCCACUUUUUUGGUGGGGGUGCUCGAGUGGCGAACGGGUGAGUAACACGUGGGUGAUCUGCCCUGUACUUCGGGAUAAGCUUGGGAAACUGGGUCUAAUACCGGAUAGGACCAUGGUUUAGUGUCUCAUGGUGGAAAAAUUAUUGUUUUGGUGCAGGAUGAGCUCGCGGCCUAUCAGCUUGUUGGUGGGGUAAUGGCCUACCAAGGCGUCGACGGGUAGCCGGCCUGAGAGGGUGGACGGCCACAUUGGGACUGAGAUACGGCCCAGACUCCUACGGGAGGCAGCAGUGGGGAAUAUGGCACAAUGGGCGCAAGCCUGAUGCAGCGACGCCGCGUGGGGGAUGACGGCCUUCGGGUUGUAAACUCCUUUCGUUAGGGACGAAGCCGCACCUUUUUUGGGUGUGGUGACGGUACCUUUGUUAAGAAGCACCGGCUAACUACGUG